Molecule: ribosomal RNA, 914 nt
Filed under: Globorotalia truncatulinoides
Lineage: Eukaryota; Foraminifera; Rotaliida; Globorotaliidae
Description: bacterial SSU rRNA
Rfam family: Eukaryotic small subunit ribosomal RNA
Source: RNAcentral
UGCCUAAUUGCGUUUCACUAAGGUCCCAUUCUUCAUACGUAUGAAUAGCGUCUUAACUCACUUUUACCGCUACCUAUUUGUAGUAAGCGCUCAUACUAUUGGGACCGGAAUGCAACGAGCGCGACUGCACCACCUAAUUGCCCCUUUAUCUACCAUUAAUUACUUUAUUAACCGCCCUGUACGGGCACCGGGGCCUUACCUUUACUGAAACUAGCUGGACCGCUGCUUUCCUUUAAGCCAGAGGAAGGUUGCGGCAAUAACAGGUCUGUGAUGCCCUCAGAUGUUCCGGGCCGCACACGUGCUACAAUGAUCAGCACAAAGAGUAUUACCUAUCUUCUUAUACCUAACCCAAUAUGUUAAACUUAUUGCGUAAGGGUAUUGUCUUAACGACUUAUCCGCUUUAGCGCUUUAAGAUUAUUGGACGGUUAUGCCUGCCUCGAAAGAGUGUACAGGGCAGCAAGAGUAAUGAUUCCCUCGUUUUUACUACUAAUACCGCGCUUGGUAACAUAUUACACUCGAUUAAGUAGGGUCUUUGCUUUUAAUAGCAAUUGCUAUCCUCACCCUUAGGCUCUAAGGAUAUUACUAUCUCUCUAAGGUCUACAGGGAGGUGUAUAUGGCGCACUUACUUAUUCACGGUGGGGACAGACCAUUGUUAACUGUUGGUCUCGGUCUCAACUAGGAAUGCCUCGUACGGGUUGGUUCACCAAACCACCCGGAAUAUGUCCCUGCCCUUUGUACACACCGCCCGUCGCUCUUAUCGAUGAACUCUCUUGUGAGGCUGAGGGACUGCGUCUAUUAUACCCGUGUAAUCCUAAUAUCUCACAUACAUUUCGCUAAAGGCGAUUUUGCUCUAAGGAUUUACACGACCUUACGCACAAACUUAUUCGACCAAGUGGGUUUAAAGGAAAGAGAAG